AGUGGAAUAGUUAGGUCAUAUAGUGGUUCAAUUCCUAGUCUUUUGAGGAAUCUUCAUACUACUUUCCAAAUUGAUUGUACUAAUUUGUAGUACCACCAAUAAU
This 103-nucleotide microRNA precursor is filed under the name Marmota monax (woodchuck). Lineage: Eukaryota; Metazoa; Chordata; Mammalia; Rodentia; Sciuridae. The record is from RNAcentral.